RNAcentral lists this ribosomal RNA (301 nucleotides) under uncultured bacterium. RNAcentral's name for it is "partial 16S ribosomal RNA". It matches the Rfam family "Bacterial small subunit ribosomal RNA", at positions 509 to 807 of the family's 1533-position model. The record is from RNAcentral.
CAGUAGCCGCGGUAAUACGAAGGGUGCAAGCGUUAAUCGGAAUUACUGGGCGUAAAGCGUGCGUAGGCGGUUUGUUAAGUCUGCUGUGAAAUCCCCGGGCUCAACCUGGGAAUGGCAGUGGAUACUGGCAGGCUAGAGUGUGUCAGAGGAUGGUGGAAUUCCCGGUGUAGCGGUGAAAUGCGUAGAGAUCGGGAGGAACAUCGGUGGCGAAGGCGGCCAUCUGGGACAACACUGACGCUGAGGCACGAAAGUGUGGGGAGCAAACAGGAUUAGAUACCCCCGUAGUCCCUGUCUCUUAUAC